GAGCCUGUGCUAGGGUAAAUUGACUCUCUGUUCUGGAGUUUUCUUUAAACUUUAAUCACCUCUUCUUCAAAUGAUUGCACAUGUAUUCAACAAGGAAACCCCUUUCCAACUCGUAGCAUGUCAAAUGAUAAUCAAGAUUUUUAGCUUACCAAUACAGUAGUCCAAUUCAGUUCUGUUAACUGAAAACAUCUCCCUUAACUCCCAUCAGUUCAGUUUAGCUGUAACUCAAUCGAUGCAGCAUGUAGCAGUUUUUAUUUUGUGUAAUGGCUCUAUGUAGUUAAUGUCUUCUCUGGUAUAAAUAUGGUGUUUGUUCUAUAUAUAUUUUUGACAUAUCCAGUCAUUUACCCUUCUGUCAGAUUGUGCACUUUAGUACAUCUUUGCCUAAAAGUGUUUCUCUAUGUUGUAUUUUCAGAAUUUUGGCAAGUUCCGAGUGCUAAUUCUUCUCUUUUUGGUAACUAGCUUGUACUUUGAGUUGAAGAAGCAAGUGUUCACCCCUUGGUCUUUGCACUGCUGCUGGAGUUGUGAUGAUGAUCCUUCAGGGUGGAUUCUCUGACUUUCAGUUCUUAUAGAAUUAUUUUGAAUGGUUGAGUAAGAGGUGCGCAUUUGAUAUGGAAACUAACACUGUGAAGAUGAUUUGAUCUGCAGAAUUUUCUUCUCUUUGUUUUCUUGGUUUAAUAAAUCAUGGCGUCUUUCACUAUUUCUUUCAGUAGUAGGUCGCGGAUUACAGAUUAUUGUUUCUCUUGAUCAGCAUCUGAAUAAAGGCUGUCCUUACUAAUUGUAUUCUACUUGUCAACUUUGUUGCCCAAAUACUUAAAUGUUAGCUUAAGUGAUGGAACAAAGAAUUCUUGUUGCUGGUAUGAACUCUGAACAUGCAAAUGCUGUCUAUGAUGAUCUGAUUCAUGUGAAUUUUCUAGUCCAUAAUGGUCAUCAAAUAGUAGCAUCCAACUGCUAGCUCUAGCUUGUCAAUGACAUUGUAUUCUGUUUUUUGUUAUUAGCGUAUCCUCGGUUGUCAACCAGCACCGACGGUUGAGUUGAAGACCACCUUCAAGUUCUAAUGGACCUUCAGACUGUUUAAUCUUGACAAGAAAUAUGAGCUGCUAAUUCUUGAAGAAAAGGUGUAGCCUAUGUACUGCAAUUGAACAUCUUGAAUAAAUGACAAAAGUUCAUCUAGGCUGUAGUCUAUGUACUGCAAUUGAUGUAUUGAUACAGAUGGAAGCAGAGUAUGUUAUGUGUUGCUUAUAACUAAGUUAUGUGCUGUUAUUGCCUCUGUACAUGUGCGAUUAUGUGUUGUCAUUGCCUAUGAACAUGUGGGAUCACGUAUUGUUAUUGCCUCUGGAUAUACUUAGC
RNAcentral lists this long non-coding RNA (1347 nucleotides) under Triticum aestivum (bread wheat). RNAcentral describes it as "long non-coding RNA (TAES_LNC004857)". Lineage: Eukaryota; Viridiplantae; Streptophyta; Magnoliopsida; Poales; Poaceae. The record is from RNAcentral.